Molecule: transfer RNA, 76 nt
Filed under: Agrilus planipennis (emerald ash borer)
Lineage: Eukaryota; Metazoa; Arthropoda; Insecta; Coleoptera; Buprestidae
Rfam family: tRNA
About the family: Transfer RNA (tRNA) molecules are approximately 80 nucleotides in length. Their secondary structure includes four short double-helical elements and three loops (D, anti-codon, and T loops). Further hydrogen bonds mediate the characteristic L-shaped molecular structure. tRNAs have two regions of fundamental functional importance: the anti-codon, which is responsible for specific mRNA codon recognition, and the 3' end, to which the tRNAs corresponding amino acid is attached (by aminoacyl-tRNA synthetases). tRNAs cope with the degeneracy of the genetic code in two manners: having more than one tRNA (with a specific anti-codon) for a particular amino acid; and 'wobble' base-pairing, i.e. permitting non-standard base-pairing at the 3rd anti-codon position.
Source: Rfam by way of RNAcentral
CCUCUCGUAGUUUUUAGUGGUCAGAACAUUGGUGCGUAAUAGCCAAAGGUCCCGGGUUCGAUUCCCGGCGGGGGUG